This 427-nucleotide ribosomal RNA is filed under the name uncultured bacterium. RNAcentral's name for it is "partial 16S ribosomal RNA". It matches the Rfam family "Bacterial small subunit ribosomal RNA", at positions 355 to 774 of the family's 1533-position model. The record is from RNAcentral.
UGGGGAAUAUUGGACAAUGGGCGAAAGCCUGAUCCAGCCAUGCCGCGUGUGUGAAGAAGGUCUUCGGCUUGUAAAGCACUUUAAGUUGGGAGGAAGGGCAUUAACCUAAUACGUUAGUGUUUUGACGUUACCGACAGAAUAAGCACCGGCUAACUCUGUGCCAGCAGCCGCGGAAAUACAGAGGGUGCAAGCGUUAAUCGGAAUUAGUGGGCGUAAAGCGCGCGUAGGUGGUUUGUUAAGUUGGAUGUGAAAUCCCCGGGCUCAACCUGGGAACUGCAUUCAAAACUGACUGACUAGAGUAUGGUAGAGGGUGGUGGAAUUUCCUGUGUAGCGGUGAAAUGCGUAGAUAUAGGAAGGAACACCAGUGGCGAAGGCGACCACCUGGACUAAUACUGACACUGAGGUGCGAAAGCGUGGGGAGCAAACA